CUUUUUCAUCUGUUAUAGAAAAUUUGAUUUGAACGUCGGAGGAUCUCCGUCCGAGCCACUCCUGACGGGUUCUUUUCUUGCAGAUUCAAUCACCGUCGACCCAUCAGCCGUCACCUCGCUCCAGGAUCUCCGGCCCGGGAUGAGUUCCAGCCACAACAUUUACAAUGGUAGGCUUUAAAAGGAUCAUGAUUUAACUACUUCAUGUUUGCCUUUUGCUUUGUCCGAUCAAGUUAUCAUAAUCAGGCUUUCACAUGUCCAACGAUCUCAUGACUCAUUUGCAUUCCUGCACAAACUCAUGUAUAAGCGGAUGGUAAUUUUCUAGCUUCUGCUACCAAGGAACAGAGAAUAUUACCAUUGCUACAUCUUUUGUUUUGUUUUGCAUUUUUUUUAAAAAAGAAAUUUGAUGA
Molecule: long non-coding RNA, 407 nt
Filed under: Elaeis guineensis (African oil palm)
Lineage: Eukaryota; Viridiplantae; Streptophyta; Magnoliopsida; Arecales; Arecaceae
Description: long non-coding RNA (EGUI_LNC001044)
Source: RNAcentral